Drosophila miranda is the source of this 2337-nucleotide long non-coding RNA. RefSeq lists it as uncharacterized. The record is from RefSeq and is a predicted model, not a curated record. NCBI's taxonomy places the organism in Eukaryota, Metazoa, Arthropoda, Insecta, Diptera, Drosophilidae. The transcript has 2 exons.
UGUGACCUUAUAUUUCUGUUUUCAAAACCAUACCAAAUUCAUAGAAAGACAGCUGAAAGAUCCUGGAACGUCGCGAAUCCUGUGGAAGGCAGCUUCAUGUACUUGACAGAGUCGCCCUAGGACUCCAUACGCUGCUCAGCGAUGGGCGUAUCCACCACAAGAGGAACAGAGGUGACAGCUGUUGGACCUACUCCUACUACAACAGCAUUAACGUGACCAGGCAUCAUCGGUACCGGGGACUCGGAGAAGCCUCGCAACACUGCCGUGUAUGAAGUGUCUGCUCUUCUGGACAGAUGUCGGCAGCCAUAAGAAAUCAGCCAACGGAUGACCAGGCUGCGGGUCCGUUGUCGCCCUCAACGCGUAUUAUGUCAGAGCGCAUGUCCAAGAUUUCCUCUGUGGCGGAUACGGUGCCACGCUCAACAUCACGUUACGUUUGCCUGCAGCACCACCACGAAUGUCAGUAAAAUGCUGGCCCAUCAAUCCCAUCAAUGCGCCGCCCUGCUCCACCGCGAUCUGCGACUAGUCCGACUCCAAUUACAAGAGCAAAGAGAUACAGGAGGAGGAGUUGGAGCAUGGCUCCGGCAAGCAUCCCACCGAACACCAAUUUUUUGUAUAGAUUGAUAUUAUUUGGUUGCUCUAGCUCUUAUAAUCUCUGAGCACUAGACGCUCAUAGGGACAGACAGACAGACAUGGCUCUAUCGACUCGCUCAAGAAUUGGUUCUGCCGACCGUGCGCAGUAGAAGAGAAAAAACUUAGUUUCGUCUCUUUUGCGGCUGCGUCGUUAGCACUCUUUUGCUUUCUUCGCUUUGCAUUUGUUGUGUGCUGUGAUUUUGUAAUUAUUAUCAGGAAAACGCAGUGUUUAAAUACUGUACAAAAUAAUUAUAAAUUGUAUAAAAAUUAAAUUUAUGACGGGACAAACCUUCACAACGUAGGAGCAACACUAAUAGAGAGUAAUAUUAAGUAUAGUUGAGUUACACAGUGUAAGGACCUUUAAAAAGUAUAUUAUUUUAUCCAAUAUCUAUAUGCCUGAGGAUAUACAAAUUCUGGACAGAACGAAAAAUUAUGGUACUGAACCAGCAGAUUCCAGAUUUAUUCGACAAGAGAAUGGUUUAUUCGAAAUAGCAGAUACAUGAGAAUUAAAAUAUAAUUUAGGUACAAAGAUAAUGCCCAAGUCAUUAACUUUGUAUAGGCGUUCCAAGGAAAUGUUAUUAAUUGAGAAGUCAGACCUUUGUAAAGGCCAUAUUUUAAAAGACUUAACUGGGAACUAGACAAGAAAUCUAUCUCCUCAAAAGUGCAAGUCCAAUCAUUCCCAGUCAGUAAUAGGUUCAGUUGUGUGGAGGCCCGAAGGAGUCCUUGGCUUUAUGAAAAGGUAGUCUGAGGAAUUUUCUUACCCCUAUACCAUAAACUAAUCUACUUUUCUCUUUUCUGGUUCCUGUAUCUCGUCUCCUCACUACCAAAAAUAUCAAGAUAUGUUUCUGGUACCAUAUGUGUUUACAAUAAAUAGUUCCAUCGUCUUGCCUUUGAUACUUAUGCUUCCAAUGUCAGAUCUUAAUUAAUGAAUAGUUUAAGUUAGCUUUCUUCUGUGUUGAAUUUUUUGGCGAACUUGCCAGUAGCAGAUAAUUUAUGAUUUGUACAUUCUUCUUUCUACACAGUUUAACUGAACAUAGAACAUAUGUAUCCUUCGUUCUUGAGUGACUCGACCAGCAAUAGGGACUCUCGAUAUUCUUGGUGUUCAUGGGAUUGAUAAGCUCGGCUUCCGUUUCCUCUUCCCCGACAUCAAAUGACGCCUGCAGGCACUGGAUGGCCAUCUCAAUGCUCGUGCUCUAAUUGUGGGACUUCACGUCCACCUGCUUGUUGAAAUAGUCUACGAAGGUGCGGACAAAACUUCGCUGCACAACUGUAGUAUUUAUGUGAUUUAUGCUGAAAAAUUUUUAAAUACACACAUAAGAAAAAUUGUCUCGAAUUGUCUCGCACUCGACAACCUGUCAGUCCAGGCUUAAAAAAUGGAAAGUCCAACAUCGCGUGGUCCUCAUGGAACAUUCUUUUCAGUAUGCAACAACCGCUUAGGCCCGUAAAUUCAAGAAAAAUUUACUCAAGACUUAAAUUCGUGUUGCAGGAUACGUAUUGUAUUAAGGAUCUUGAGACUUUGAGUAUAUUUCUCUUAGAUGGUGGUGCCUGAGUCAUCUUACAAAAUCCACGCAGGCAAAAAGUCGGGCAAGAAAUUUGUACGUUACACAUUUUACUAUUCAAAUUAGAAUUAAAAUUUUAAAUAGAUGUAUUGGAUCCGCUAUAUAAAUAUAUUCCGGGGAAAACUAUGAAUAAAUUAGUACAUUUUAA